RNAcentral lists this ribosomal RNA (405 nucleotides) under uncultured bacterium. RNAcentral describes it as "partial 16S ribosomal RNA". It matches the Rfam family "Bacterial small subunit ribosomal RNA", at positions 33 to 526 of the family's 1533-position model. The record is from RNAcentral.
GACGACGCUGGCGGCAGGCCUAACACAUGCAAGUCGAGCGUGCGGCGCACGGGUGUGUAUUGUAUGUUGAUCUGCCCGAUAGAGGGGGAUAACUACUGGAAACCGUGGCUAAUACCCCAUACUGUCGUAUGUACCCCUUUGGGAUUAGCUAGUAGGUAAGGUAAUGGCUUACCUAGGCGACGAUCCCUCGCUGGUCUGAGAGGAUGAUCAGCCACACUGGGACUGAGCCACGGCCCAGACUCCUACGGGAGGCAGCAGUGGGGAAUAUUGCACAAUGGGCGCAAGGCUGAUGCAGCCAUGCCGCGGGUAUGAAGAAGGCCCUAGGGUUGUAAAGUACUUUCAGUCGGGAGGCGGUACCGAAAGAAGAAGCACCGGCUAACUACGUGCCAGCAGCCGCGGUAAUAG